CGGGUUCGAACGAGAACUGUUGUACAGUGCAAAAUUAUAUCAAAGCAAAAGUAAUCACGGAGCAGUUUUAUUUCAACUGUUCAUGAGAAGGGUAAACCUGAUCAAUGUUACCCCGCUGAUCAAUGAUACCCCGUUUUACGGUACCGCUUUUAAUCGCAAUUCUGCUGACUGCGCUAACUACAUCUGCCAUCGCUGUUAGUGUGCAAUAUUCUGACCCCUACAUCAAUUUCUACGGUUGGCAGCAUCACCAGCAUUCCACGCAGUUUAUUCUUCACAAUGGUUUAUUCUCAGAGCUCGCGAACAAAACAACGAUCCGAAUAGAAAGCGGCAGCCCGUCAGAUAAUAAUCUUUCUUUGCUUCAGAGUUUUUGGACAAAACGUUUGCUAAUUCGACAGGGAAUAAUGAGAAACAUUGCUUUCCCACUAUCACCUAAAUAUUUUUAUGCGUAUGACGCUCCAAUUGAAAAUCUGCUGAUUGAAUCACAUGGACAUUAUCAGAUGGAGGAGUUGAGAUUCUAUGCUGGUAAGCUUUCAAGGCUACCGGCGAAUUUGGAUCGUCUCCGGGCGCUACGAGUUUUGUUGAUUAAACAUAAUCAAAUUGAUUCAAUAGAUAUGAGUGAAUUUAAAAACUUGGAAAAUUUAGAAGAAGUUUCCCUUGAAUACAAUCAUAUUAAUAUUAUUCAAACCACAUCAACACUAAGUUUGCCGGUCAUUCAAAAGUUUUCUUUGUUGCAAAAUAAUUUAGCUCAAUUGGACAUCUGUUUGUGUGAUAUGCCAGCCUUAGAAACAUUCGAUACUAGUGGAAAUAAGUUGCAACACGUCGCGUGUUUGGAUUCCCUGUUUCCAGAACUACGCUUUCUCCGUAUAUAUGAUAACCCACUUGACUGUUCAUGGAAAAGAUCGAUGUUGAGAGACAUGACAAGAGCCAACACAAAAGUAGAGUUCUUAUCUAAAGUGACUUGCGUGUUAUGCCACUAGCAACGAUGUAACUUCGGAGCCAGAAUGUUGAAUGAAAAUCAUCAAGCAUUUUUAACAAAUGUGUACUCAAAAUUAUAAGUCUUUUGAGAAAAAU
This is an RNA transcript of Wyeomyia smithii (pitcher-plant mosquito), 1071 nucleotides long. RefSeq lists it as uncharacterized. NCBI's taxonomy places the organism in Eukaryota, Metazoa, Arthropoda, Insecta, Diptera, Culicidae. The transcript has 3 exons. The record is from RefSeq and is a predicted model, not a curated record.